This 450-nucleotide long non-coding RNA is filed under the name Gossypium raimondii (Peruvian cotton). RNAcentral describes it as "long non-coding RNA (GRAI_LNC004172)". Lineage: Eukaryota; Viridiplantae; Streptophyta; Magnoliopsida; Malvales; Malvaceae. The record is from RNAcentral.
AUAAAGCCAUUUUACAAUUUUUCUAUUUUAUUUGCUGUCUCUUCUUCUUUGCUUUUUGCAGGCGAUUGACGGUGCAAGUAGGCAGAGAGCAGGCGGCAGUGGCAGAGCAAGUGGCCGACUUCGGCAGAGGCUAGGUGCGGCGGCAGUCUAGGGUUAGGUGCGAUAAAGGCUAAGGUUUUUUCUUUCUUUCUUUUUUGUUUGUUUUGGGCUGCUAGAAAUGGGUUUGGGUAAUUGGGUUGUUGGUCCAUGGUGAUUUUGGGCUUGCUGAUUUGUGUUUAAAUUUUUUAAUGGAUUGUGGACUUUGUUUAAUCUGGACCGUGCGAAAUUGGGCUUGUACAACUCUUAUUUGAUGGUAAUCUCAACAUUUUUUUUUCUCAUCCAAUUACAAUACCACAACUCAAAGAGCUUCUAUAUAUAUAGACUAAGGGGGUGCCGGCCAUCAGUGUCCUA